UCAAUGCUUAAUUGCAAGUCAAUGUUGUAAUUCUUGAGAAGAAGUCAUGGAAGCUUAUAAGAAGAAAGGAUGGGCUCUAACAAAUCCUUUACCUAAUUUACCAGGUAUAUCAACUAUUUUACCUAGAUUUAUUCAGGAAAGUUUACAUUUAGCCUUUCUUUGGGAGAAUCUUACUUUUUAACUUAUGGUGCACAAUUAGUCC
Molecule: long non-coding RNA, 202 nt
Filed under: Zea mays
Lineage: Eukaryota; Viridiplantae; Streptophyta; Magnoliopsida; Poales; Poaceae
Description: long non-coding RNA NONZMAT004438
Source: RNAcentral